Molecule: ribosomal RNA, 523 nt
Filed under: uncultured bacterium
Lineage: Bacteria
Description: partial 16S ribosomal RNA
Rfam family: Bacterial small subunit ribosomal RNA
Source: RNAcentral
GACGAACGCUGGCGGCGUGCCUAAUACAUGCAAGACGAACGCUUUUUCUUUCACCGGAGCUUGCUCCACCGAAAGAAAAAGAGUGGCGAACGGGUGAGUAACACGUGGGUAACGUGCCCAUCAGAAGGGGAUAACACUUGGAAACAGGUGCUAAUACCGUAUAACACUAUCUUCCGCAUGGAAGAAAGUUGAAAGGCGCUUUUGCGUAACUGAUGGAUGGACCGGGGGUGCAUUAGCUAGUUGGUGAGGUAACGCCUCACCAAGGCAACGAUGCAUAGCCGACCUGAGAGGGUGAUCGGCCACACUGGGACUGAGACACGGCCCAGACUCCUACGGGAGGCAGCAGUAGGGAAUCUUCGGCAAUGGACGAAAGUCUGACCGAGCAACGCCGCGUGAGUGAAGAAGGUUUUCGGAUCGUAAAACUCUGUUGUUAGAGAAGAACAAGGAUGAGAGUAAAAUGUUCAUCCCUUGACGGUAUCUAACCAGAAAGCCACGGCUAACUACGUGCCAGCCGCCGCCGUAA